UUAAUUUCUCUAUAUACUAGUUUAGUAGUACUUUUUCGCACUAAAACAUGUAGCGAGAGAUACUGCUCUAGACAGACUUCGUUCCUGGAUUAAACAAGAAUGCCCUGAAUAAAUAGCAAUUAUGAUACCCCCUACAAAAGGGUAUACAAAUGAUUUACUUAAUUUGACUGACACUUGAGCAAAAUUUGUAUGAAAUGAGAAACGGCCACAAAAGUCUCCAGCACCAGCAUCAGCACAUGACAGCGCUUGAUAAAGUGCACUCAAAGCUAUGCCAAAAUGAUUCGCAGUCUUAACUUUUGGCUUGGCUUUAUAUGAUACGUACAUACACAUGGUAGGUACUAUAUAUCUUUGUGCAUAUCGUGACAAUGGGCAUAUUUGCACAGCUGUGUUGCUGUUAUUUCUGCUAAAAAAGGCUUUGUUGAUUUAAGGCCGCUUCCUGUGGUACGGCCAGGACCCAAACCGACCAAACCGAACCGAACCAGACCAAACCGAACGGCAUAAACGCUGCACAAGCUCACCUUCUCAAAAAGAAAGCCCAGCACACACAGAUACACAUACACACACAGUGCCACACACACUAUGGCACACACGCAACGGCAUUCAGUCAGCCAUGCCACAUGCACCGUUGCCCCAGUGGCCACCGCCAGCCGACUCUACCAUAUCCCUGAUUCCCUCCUGGCCACCGACCAGAGCUGUGGUCCGUCUGGCCAUUGAGGCAAAAGUAGCGCUACAGCAGAGCUGCUGCAGACAAUAUGACCGCAAAAUGCCCAGGACGCUCAGACCUGUAGACCAGGGCUGCACAAGAGUCGCCAAAAAUAUCAAUUAAUUCCAUUUCAAUCUUUAAAAUCUUCAGAAUUCGAUUUUAUGUAUACAUAUAGUAACGAGGGUACUCAGUCAGUAUUCAGAGCUUAUAAUUUAUGCAACAUAUUUUAUAUGUCGUUUGGUAUCGCUGUUUAAUUUUUUUGCCAGACAAAAAUUUCAUAAAAAUCGGUCGAACCGUUUGGGAAAUGUUUAUAUAUAUUUUAUCCGUUUCCAUAUUUCUUUACAUUUGUUAUUUACAUCUGUCUCUUUUUUUUAUAUUUUUACACCAACAUCAGCCGUUUUAUGGUGCUCCUUCCGCCAGAAGGCGCACACUGCACGAUGAAGAGUGUGUGUGAAAGGAAGGGAAUGAGUAAGCUUGUGGAAGGCGUUGCGUAGCCACUGAAGAUUCAUUUGUUCCUUCUGGCUAUAAUAUUGAUCCGAUCUGAUCCAGAUUCGGCAAUCUGCUAGAUAUGGUCAUUCUCUACGGAUCAGUGUUUUUGGUCUUCGCGAAUCUUCAAAAUUGUGGACCAAUAAUGUACAUAUAUACUUUAUGGGGUCGGAAACGAUCCCUUCUGUGUGUUACACACAUCCACUGUCACACAAUACUCUUCGAUUAGCGGGUAUACAAAUUUUAUACAUUUCAAAAAGUUCUCUUUUUAUUUUUAACAUAGUAACUUGUACUCAGAGUUACAAGACUCUUGGAGUAAUAUUUUUCGUCGUUAGUUACGUCUUGCACUUUUCUUAGUUUUUAUUAUUAUUAUUAUUAGUGGGGGGAAAAUGGUUCAUAAAAACCCGAUUUAACAUAAGUAUGUAAUCUAUUUUAUUAAAAUUAUUAUUGAACAAUUAAUGAUGUAUUUACUAUAUGUAAGUGUUUUGUAUAUCU
Drosophila miranda is the source of this 1684-nucleotide long non-coding RNA. RefSeq lists it as uncharacterized. The record is from RefSeq and is a predicted model, not a curated record. NCBI's taxonomy places the organism in Eukaryota, Metazoa, Arthropoda, Insecta, Diptera, Drosophilidae. The transcript has 3 exons.